UACAGGGGGUGCAAACGUUGCUCGGAAUCAUUGGGCGUAAAGCGCACGUAGGCGGUUUGUUAUGUCGGAUGUGAAAGCCCUUGGCUCAGCUGAGGAAGUGCAUCCGAAACUGGCAAGCUAGAGUACUAAAGAGGGUCGCGGAAUUCCCGGUGUAGAGGUGAAAUUCGUAGAUAUCGGGAGGAACACCGGUGGCGAAGGCGGCGACCUGGGUAGAUACUGACGCUGAGGUGCGAAAGCGUGGGGAGCAAACGGG
RNAcentral lists this ribosomal RNA (253 nucleotides) under uncultured bacterium. RNAcentral's name for it is "partial 16S ribosomal RNA". It matches the Rfam family "Bacterial small subunit ribosomal RNA", at positions 524 to 776 of the family's 1533-position model. The record is from RNAcentral.